UGGGGGAUAUUGCACAAUGGGCGAAAGCCUGAUGCAGCGACGCCGCGUGGGGGAUGAAGGCCUUCGGGUUGUAAACUUCUUUUGCUCUGAACAAGGCAUGCCUUUGGGGUGUGUUGAGUGUAGGGGUUGAUUAGCGCCGGCUAACUACGUGCCAGCAGCCGCGGUAAUACGUAGGGCGCGAGCGUUGUCCGGAAUUAUUGGGCGUAAAGGGCUUGUAGGUGGCUGGUUGCGUCUGUCGUGAAAGCUCAUGGCUUAACUGUGGGUUUGCGGUGGGUACGGGCUGGCUUGAGUGCAGUAGGGGAGGCUGGAAUUCCUGGUGUAGCGGUGGAAUGCGCAGAUAUCAGGAGGAAUGCCGGUGGCGAAGGCGGGUCUCUGGGCUGUUACUGACGCUGAGGAGCGAAAGCGUGGGGAGCGAACAGG
RNAcentral lists this ribosomal RNA (420 nucleotides) under Fusobacteriota bacterium. RNAcentral describes it as "Fusobacteria bacterium partial 16S ribosomal RNA". It matches the Rfam family "Bacterial small subunit ribosomal RNA", at positions 355 to 776 of the family's 1533-position model. Lineage: Bacteria; Fusobacteriati; Fusobacteriota. The record is from RNAcentral.